GACGAACGCUGGCGGCGUGCCUAAUACAUGCAAGUCGAACGCACUCUCGUUUAGAUUGAAGGAGCUUGCUCCUGAUUGAUAAACAUUUGAGUGAGUGGCGGACGGGUGAGUAACACGUGGGUAACCUGCCCUAAAGUGGGGGAUAACAUUUGGAAACAGAUGCUAAUACCGCAUAAAACCUAAACACCGCAUGGUGUAGGGUUGAAAGAUGGUUUCGGCUAUCACUUUAGGAUGGACCCGCGGUGCAUUAGUUAGUUGGUGAGGUAAAGGCUCACCAAGACCGUGAUGCAUAGCCGACCUGAGAGGGUAAUCGGCCACACUGGGACUGAGACACGGCCCAGACUCCUACGGGAGGCAGCAGUAGGGAAUCUUCCACAAUGGACGAAAGUCUGAUGGAGCAACGCCGCGUGAGUGAAGAAGGUUUUCGGAUCGUAAAACUCUAGUCGUUGGAGAAGAAUGUAUCUGAUAGUAACUGAUCAGGUAGUGACGGUAUCCAACCAGAAAGCC
RNAcentral lists this ribosomal RNA (507 nucleotides) under uncultured bacterium. RNAcentral's name for it is "bacterial SSU rRNA". It matches the Rfam family "Bacterial small subunit ribosomal RNA", at positions 28 to 492 of the family's 1533-position model. The record is from RNAcentral.